GGUGACAGGUGGUGCAUGGUUGUCGUCAGCUUCGUGUCGUGAGAUGUUGGGUUAAGUCCCGCAACGAGCCGCAACCCCUAUUGUUAGUUGCCAUCAUUCAGUUGGGCACUCUAGCGAGACUGCGGUAAUAACCGGAGGAAGGUGGGAUGACGUCAAAUCAUCAUGCCCCUUAUGACCUGGGCUACACACGUGCUACAAUGGUUGGUACAACGAGUUGCGAGUCGGUGACGGCGAGCUAAUCUCUUAAAGCCAAUCUCAGUUCGGAUUGUAGGCUGCAACUCGCCUACAUGAAGUCGGAAUCGCUAGUAAUCGCGGAUCAGCACGCCGCGGUGAAUACGUUCCCGGGCCUU
RNAcentral lists this ribosomal RNA (350 nucleotides) under uncultured Streptococcus sp. RNAcentral's name for it is "bacterial SSU rRNA". It matches the Rfam family "Bacterial small subunit ribosomal RNA", at positions 1030 to 1382 of the family's 1533-position model. Lineage: Bacteria; Bacillati; Bacillota; Bacilli; Lactobacillales; Streptococcaceae. The record is from RNAcentral.